AUAUGAGUUUUCACUAAGGAGCCGUUUGGUUAGAUGCAAUUAUAAAUACAGUGCAGUUAGAAAUUCAUACAAUUGAAAAUGCAGCAGUUACAACUAUAUAUAUAUAUUCUGUUUUGUUGGAUAUAGUAAAAAACGCUGCAAGUAUAAAUAAUUUGUUUGAUUGCAUGCAGUUGAGAAAUAAUUUUUGAAAUUUUAUAAUUUUAUAUAUAUGAUAGUGGGAUUAUCUCCAAUGUGGAAAAAAAUAAAUAAAUUUUGUUUAAAAAAUAAUUGAGCAGGUAAGCAUAUUUUUUAAAUAUACUCUUUCCAACUAAUGUAGUUGGAACUGUGGCCAAUUUGAACGUAGUUCGAACUGCUGCAGUUAAGCCUUCUCCUGCAGUUCCUACUGCAAUAGUUGGAAUUAAAUACAUCAAGCCAAACACCAAAUUUGCAUUUGCAUAUAGCUACAAUUGUAAAACAGUUACAACUACAUACAACCAAAUGACCCCUAAGAUGGGAUGGACAUAUUUAGUGGACGUGGGGCCCACGCGGGACAAAGCUGGUGAUGGGGCUCUUUUUUUUGCAAAUGGCUCUCUGAAAAAAUUUUAUUUUAAAACUAGUCCCAACAAACUUAUAAUUAUAAAAAUGAUCCUAUCCUUUCCAUGUAGGCGCCACGCAAGCGCCACGUGAGCACAUUGGCAGCCUGCUUGGCAAGUUGAAUACGAUGAACCAUUCAAAAUUAUAUUCUCAACUGCAUGCAAUUA
RNAcentral lists this long non-coding RNA (740 nucleotides) under Ananas comosus (pineapple). RNAcentral describes it as "long non-coding RNA (ACOM_LNC032133)". The record is from RNAcentral. Lineage: Eukaryota; Viridiplantae; Streptophyta; Magnoliopsida; Poales; Bromeliaceae.